RNAcentral lists this long non-coding RNA (7458 nucleotides) under Triticum aestivum (bread wheat). RNAcentral's name for it is "long non-coding RNA (TAES_LNC021635)". Lineage: Eukaryota; Viridiplantae; Streptophyta; Magnoliopsida; Poales; Poaceae. The record is from RNAcentral.
UUUUUUGCUUCUACCCUGCAAUUUGAAAUACCUACAGGGCCUAAUCCACAUACAUAGAUCAUCAUCAAAUCCACACAUAUAACUUUAAAUCCACACACACAUAUAUAUAUAACUUCAAAUCCGCAUAUAUAACAUCAAACCCACAUAUAUAACAUCAAAUCCAUUGCAUAGUCCAAACGAAGUUCAUAGUCACAUCCAACACAAGCACAACAAGAUCAGUCAUAUCCAAACACGAGCGCGACAAGUUAAGUCAUAUCCAACACGAGCACAACAAGUUCAGUCAUAUCCAGCAAGAUAACCGAAAUUAAAUCUACAGUUAUCAUGCUCCAUCAUCAGGCUCAUGUGCUGCUGCUGUUGCUGCUGCUCGUCCUCCUACUCCAUCUGCAAGGAUAAGAGCAAGUUGUUUGAAUGGCAUGCACAUGAUAAAACUGCAAGGCUAUAUGCAUGUAUUCAUCUACAUUAAUUAAAUCUACAGUACAGUACAGAUGAUACAUGGAAGAGUUUCACUUCAAAUGAUUGCUUGCGCGUACAGUACCACUUAUGAUCCAGGUUUAAUAUGGAAAAUAAAAAACUACAGUUUUCAUCAGUUUCAGAUCAAGCUUUUGCCAUAGAAAAUUGACAUAUUUUCUGCAUCAAAGUUGAUCCACGAAGAAGAGGAGCGCUAACAAAUAGUGUCCAGCCAGUAGAAUGUUUAAGUGAUAUUAACAGUUAGCUAGAUUGGUGCAAACUGAGAUACCAGUCAGUAGCAAAAUAAAAACCUUAGCUAUUACGUGACCAUCAACCACACACUCACAUCAUGCGGAGACCUGUAGGCCCUACAGGGCCUAAUCAUGGAGGGACGUGACCAUCAACCACACACCCAAGUAUCCUACGCAAAGGAACUAUAGAGCACAACUAAAUGGCAGAGAGCACAAACUUAACAAAUCUACACAAGUAAUAAAAGAUACUGAGAUAAAAGGGUACUCCCAGAUCUAUUCAUGAAACCAAUGGUUCAAUACAGAAGCACCAGCAAGAAAACAAUGCUCUGCAAUGAUGCUUUAACUCCAUCCACUAAUAUAACAUAUCACACACUUGACAAAAAUUUCAGCAAAGACAUGGUCUGCACCUUGAGACCUGCUGCUACAGGUGUUGGUCUUGAAUUUUUACCACAGCACAGCACAGGUGUCGUCAGCGGAGAGGAUGGUCUUCUUCUCCGUGCAUAUCUGUGCGUGUGCGAGCGGUAAACGUCUUGCUCUGUUGGGAGCGACGUGUUUCAUGUUAUAUAGUAGGGAGCCAAAACCCUAGAUGGCAUACAACAUGCGGUUACAAGAGAUAAGACUUGGGAGAGAAGAAAGGAGAAGAUGGUUACAUGAAUAUCUCAUACAAACUACCUCCUAGUCUAUAUCUCUAUCAUAUCUCGUGAUAAACAUGGCCCGGCCCGCAUAUGUAUAAUGUGUUUGACACUCCCCCUUAAUCACAACUUCAUCAGGUUGAGAUUAUGCUUAAAUUCUUUAAAGUUUCUGAUAGGCAGGGCUUUAGUAAACCCAUCUGCAACUUGAUCUCUGGAAUGAAUGAACCGAAUAUCAAGCUGUUUCCGUGCAACUCUUUCUCUGACAAAGUGAAAAUCUAUCUCUAUGUGCUUUGUUCUGACAUGAAAAACUGGAUUUGCAGACAAGUAGGUAGCACCAAGAUUAUCACACCACAAACAUGGAGCUUGAGAACUAUGUAUACCAAGUUCUUUGAACAUUGAUUGAACCCAUAUGAUUUCAGCUGUAGCAUUAGCUAAUACUUUGUACUCUGCUUCUGUGCUAGAUUGAGACACAGUGGCUUGUUUUCUUGCACACCAUGAAAUCAAGUUAGGUCCAAAGAAUAUGGCAAAUCCACCAGUGGAGCGCCUGUCAUCUAGACAGCAUGUCCAGUCAGAAUCAGGGAAAGCACUAACCAGAGUUGAGGGUGACUUGCUGAAAUUAAGGCCAAUGCUCAAGGUGUGUUUAACAUAUCUAACAAUGCGUUUUGCAGCAGUCCAAUGCACAGUGGUAGGAGCAUGCAGAAACUGACAUACCUUGUUAACAGCAAAGGAGAUAUCAGGCCUUGUUAGGGUCAAGUACUGUAGUGCACCUACUAAACUCUUGUACUUUGUACUGUCCUCUUGAUUCAAGAGUUGCCCUUCUGUGAGAGAUAGCUUUUUUGAGCUGGAUAAUGGAGUGAAGGAGGGUUUACAACCUUGCAGUCCUGCCUUUCUGACCAGAUCAGUAGCAUACUUCUCUUGAGAGAGAUGAAGUCCUUCCUUGUGUUUCUUCACUUCAAUCCCAAGGAAAAAAUGCAAAUCUCCAAGAUCCUUGAGAGCAAAUUCUACACUUAAAUCCUUCAACAAUGAUGCAAUGGCCUCACUAGAUGUACUUGUAACAAUAAUGUCAUCAACAUAGAUGAGAACAAAUAUGCAAGUAUUGAGGUUAUUGUAAAUGAACAGUGAGGUAUCUGACUUGGAAGGAACAAAACCAAGUGAUUGCAUCUUGUGACUAAGACGGGAGUACCACGCCCUUGGAGCUUGCUUCAAGCCAUAGAGUGCUUUAUCAAGUUUGCACACAAAUGAAGGAUUAGAUUUGCUCUCAAACCCAGGAGGUUGUUUCAUAUACACCUCUUCUUCCAGAACACCAUGAAGGAACGCGUUCUGUAUAUCUAGCUGUCUGAGACUCCAUCCUCUAGAGACAGCAAUAGACAGAACAAGGCAAAUGGUGGCAGCUUUUACAACUGGACAAAAUGUAUCCUCAUAAUCAAUACCAUAUCUCUGUUUAAAGCCUUUUGCAACAAGCCUAGCCUUGUAUCUAUCAAUAGUUCCAUCAGAUUUUCUCUUAACUCUGAACACCCACUUGCAAUCUAUAAGAUUUUUACCUUGCCGUGGGGGAACCAAAUGCCAUGUUUUAUUUUUUUUCAGUGCCACAUAUUCUUCCAUCAUUGACUGCACUGCUGAAUCAGCCGGCGCAGAAGAUCCGGAGCCGCGCACAGGAGUCCCUGGCGCAGGCGAUCCCGAGGCAGAAUUGCCUGGUACCCACACCGGAUCCUCUGUGGCUUCAGCACGUGAUGACGAAGUUGUAUCAGCCGCAGAAGAUCCUGGCGCACCAGCCGGCUCAUCAUGAGCCGAUGAUUGUGCGGGGCCACGAGGAUCAGCAUCGAAGCCUGUGCCCUCCUGGCUAGUAGGGUCAGCGCUGGAUCCCGCGCCGGUCGGCCGUGCCUGGGCCCACCGCUUGUAGCAGUGCGGUUGGUCGGGGAAGCGCACACCGCCCGCUCCACUGGGACGCCGCCGCGUGGCAUCGGGCGAGCCGCCAGCCGAGAGCUGGUCCGCACGCGCGGCAGAUUCCGUCGCUGGCAGGUCUGGCGCGUCUGCCAGCGCUGAUCCCGGCGCGGAUCUUCUGGGCUGCAACUGGUUCGGCGCCGAUCCCAAGGGGGAUUUGUUCCCCAAAUCCGGACACAACCAAUAUGGCACUUGAGGGCCAUUUACUUCAUUUUCUUCGCUGAUUGUUCCUGCAACAUCACCAGAGUACUCGGUUGCACCACUAGGAGGGUUAGUCGGCAUUGAAUCAUCACAAGUAAUUCCCCCAUGAUCAAGGCCGGUGAGAGGAGGCAAGAGUAGAAUUUCUUUGCGAAGUAAGGCACCAGCGUUGGGAUGAAGCUCGGUGAAAGGAAACUUUGUUUCGUCAAAAACAACAUCACGGGAGAUAUAAACUCGCCCCGUGGACACAUCUAGGCACUUGACACCUUUGUGUUGGGAGCUAUACCCAAGAAAUACACAUUGCUUUGACCGAAACAUAAGUUUGUGUUGAUUGUACGGACGAAGAUUGGGCCAACAUGCACACCCAAAAACACGAAGAGACGUGUAGUCGGGUUUGGUGUGGAGUAGCCGUUCUACUGGAGUUUCAUUAUUGAUAACACGACUAGGAAGCAUGUUAAUGAUGUGAACUGCGGUGAGAAAGGCUUCAUCCCAGAAUUUCAAAGGCAUGGAGGCGCCAGCUAAAAGAGCUAGACCGACCUCAACAAUGUGCCUGUGCUUGCGUUCAGCAGAGCCGUUUUGUUGGUGAGCGUGGGGGCACGACACAUGGUGAGAGAUGCCGAGAGUUUGAAAGAAAGAGUUUAAUUUCUCAUACUCUCCGCCCCAGUCUGAUUGGAUAGCAAGUAUCUUGCUGUCAAAUUGGCGUUCAACGAGUGCUUGAAAGUUCUUAAAAACUUGAAAGACAUCAGAUCUUUUCUUAAGAAGAUAAAUCCAGGAAAAUUUACUGUAGUCAUCAAUGAAACUUACAUAGUACAUAUGUCUACCUACUGAGUUGGGGGCAGGACCCCAAACAUCUGAAAAAAUUAAUUGCAAUGGUUUGGUAGACACACUAGUGGAUAUAGGAUAGGGUAGCUGAUGACUCUUAGCUCGUUGACAGGAAUCACAAAUAGUUUCAAUAUUGCGGUCACCAACAAACAUGAGCUUAUUCUUCCUAAGUAAUUUUUCAACUAAAGAAAAAGACGCAUGUCCUAGACGAUCAUGCCAUCGUGUGGAUGAAAGCUUGAUAGCACCACAAGCUUGUUUAUUCAGUCUCCUAAGCUCCGGAAUCAACGGGUAGAGUCCACGAACGCAUCUACCUCGAUAGAGAAUUCUCUUCAUCACCUGAUCCUUGAUCAAAAAGAAGUAAGGGUGAAACUCAAAGAAGACAUGAUUAUCAAGAGCAAUUCUAUGGACAGAGAGAAGACUUUUGUCGGCAUUAGGAACAUGCAAAAUUUUCCUAAGAUGGAUUUUGCGAGAAGGGGUACUAAAACUUGAAUGACCAAUGUGACUAAUCUCCAUACCUUCACCACUAGCUGUGUGGAUUUGGUCCUUGCCGCGGUAUUUCUCCUUCAUGGUCACCUUCUCGAGCUCGUUGGUGAUGUGGUUAGUGGCGCCGCUGUCGACGUACCAGUUGGUGUUGAUUCCGUAGGAGCCAUCUGCAGCCGCCGCCACCUUGUCAUCAUCUUGAGAGGAAUCCUCGUCCUCUUCGUAGCGGUACCAGCAAUAUUUUGCUGUGUGCCCCAACUUGCCACAUAUCUGGCACCGAGGGGCAUCAGGACGUGCGCGAGUAUUGCCGCCCCCGCGGCGAGAUCUGUUGCUGGUGGGAGCACGCCCGCUGUUGCGGGAGUUGGAGCCGCCGCCGUUGCCGCCUCCAUUGGACCUCCCCCUACCACGGGAGAAGCCGCCAUGCCGAGAGGAGCCGCCACGUCCACGAGAGGCCGAGUUCGCGGAGGACUUGACGCCGCUGCCGCCGUUACCGUGGAAGUGCACCAUCCGCUGAUCGAAAUUGGAGCGCAUGGCGAAGAGCUCGUCGAUGGUGAUGGGGGUGACACGAGCAUCCAGAGCGGAGAUCAGCGGCUAGUAGUCGGCGUCGAGCCCGUGGAUGAUGUAUGAGAUGAGCUCAUCGUCGAGGAUUCCUUGCCCGCCGCGACCAACUCGUCGGCGUAGCCGCGCAUGGUGGCGAAGUAGGAGGCGACGGAGAGGUUGCCCUUCUGCGCAUUGAUGAGAGAGGUACGGAUGUUGUUGAUGCGACUCACCGAUUGCGACGAGUACAUGCCGGCGAGUGUCGUCCAGAGCGCGCCCGCGUUGGUGACCGUGGUCACCGUGAGGAGCACCUCCUUCGUGAGGUUGCUCAGCAGAUAGCCAAGGACCUGCUGGUCCUCCCGGACCCAGAUUGGGUGGAGAGGGUUGUGCGUUGAAGUCUCCUUGCCUUCUUUGUCGGUGGUGACGAGGAGCUUUGCCGGCUCCGGCUGGGUGCCGUCGACGUAGCCGAAGACCCCGGCGCCACGCAGUUGGGGUAUGAUCUGCGUGCGCCAUAGCACGUAGUUCGUGCGGGAUAGCUUCUCGGUGACCUGGCCAUUGAGACUAGGCUAGAAGGAAGCGCCAGAGGAGGAAGACAUGGUGUGGCUUCGGGACAGGUGGUUCUGGUAGCUAGAUGAGUUGAAGAAGAGGGGCUCUGAUUAACAUGUGCGAGCGGUAAACAUCUUGCUCUGUUGGGAGCGACGUGUUUCAUGUUAUAUAGUAGGGAGCCAAAACCCUAGAUGGCAUACAACAUGCGGUUACAAGAGAUAAGACUUGGGAGAGAAGAAAGGAGAAGAUGGUUACAUGAAUAUCUCAUACAAACUACCUCCUAGUCUAUAUCUCUAUCAUAUCUCGUGAUCAGUGGCGGAGCUACAAAAGAGAAGUUGGGCGGGCCAGAGAGCCCAAAUAAGCGAUGAUACUCGACCACGGUGGCGUGCGCCUUGGUGGCCGGCGGCUGUGUGCGCUGCCGGACACUAAGCACCUCCACUGAGUGCUUUUAUCGGGGAACUACCGAACAAAUGCUUCAGUGAGGCUGCUGCGUUCCUUCUCUGCAUGUACAUGUUGUGGGCUAGGCUUUAUAAAAAAUUGCUCCAUCCAUGGGCGGGCCAUGGCCCAUUGAGCCUUGUUGAAGCUCCGCCAGUGCUCGUGAUAAACAUGGCCCGACCCGCAUAUGUAUAAUGUGUUUGACAGUGCGGUCAGCAAGUAAACAAAAAAUCAUCAUGUGUUGAUGAGAUAAGCAGCAACAAUGAAGGAGAAUAAAUAAGCCAGGAUGGGUAACUUCUUCACGUCCUUCUUCACCCAAGUAACUUGAAACAAUCUUGGUACAAAAGUUAAAUUUUUGUGAAAGAAAAGGGUACUCCCAGAUUUCUUGAUGAAACAAUGGUUCAAUAGAGAAGCACCAGCAAGAAAACAAGGAUAAUUAAUUAAUAGGCAUGUAACUUAUGACAGGGUUCAUGCUAAUGAUGGCAUACUAGCUAGGAUGUGCAAUCAUAAAUAAAUUAGUAUAAAGCUUAUCUCACAAGUAGAGCACGUAUGCUUUAUGGCAGCAGUCUCAACAAGAUUCCGAGAGGCAUGCAACUAAAUUGAACUCUAGUGAAUUUAUUCUUGAGGCAGCAAGCAAGCAAAUGGAUGAAUUGGCAAACACUGCAGCGAUGUUUAUCUCAAUAUAAGCACUAGGGUGUGACAGCAAUAGCAGCAAGUUGAAUUCAGUCAAGCAUGUGAGUGGAUUCAGACCAGCAGCAAACCAAGCAAUUUGUUUCAGACUUCAAACAGGCAGAGUAUUUGUAGAGUUGAAUCACAUGAGAAAAACAGUGACCACCAUAGGCUGCCUAAGAAUGCUAGCUAAUCUGGACGGCCAUGAGUAAGAGCAGCCGCAAGCAAGCAAAUAGGAAGCAAGUAAGCACACGAGGUAACCCAAGCCAGCCUAGGAUUUCAAAACGAGAGAGGAGUGGAGGAGAAAAUCGACCUUGAGCUGCUACUGCUCCUCUCCAUGGACGGGCACAUCGCGUGAGUGGACUUCUCCUGCAGCACAUCACGAACAGGGCAGACAGAGAGGCAUGAGGAACCCACAUCCACAUCCGCGGCUGCCGGAUCGAAUCAAACAGAGAAGGGGGAGCACCUUGACCUCGAGUUGCUGGAGCGACGGCGCCGUG